UACAGAGGUCUCAAGCGUUGUUCGGAUUCAUUGGGCGUAAAGGGUGCGUAGGCGGCGCGGUAAGUCGGGUGUGAAAUCUUGGAGCUUAACUCCGAAACUGCAUUCGAUACUGCCGUGCUUGAGGACUGGAGAGGAGACUGGAAUUUACGGUGUAGCGGUGAAAUUCGUAGAUAUUCGCAAGAACACCAGUGGCGAAGGCGGCUCACUGGCCCGAUACUGACGCUGAGGCACGAAAGCGUGGGGAGCAAACAGG
RNAcentral lists this ribosomal RNA (253 nucleotides) under uncultured bacterium. Its description in RNAcentral is "partial 16S ribosomal RNA". It matches the Rfam family "Bacterial small subunit ribosomal RNA", at positions 524 to 776 of the family's 1533-position model. The record is from RNAcentral.